UACAGAGGGUGCGAACGUUGCUCGGAAUUACUGGGCGUAAAGCGCGUGUAGGCGGAGCGAUAAGUCGGAAGUGAAAUCCCCGGGCUCAACCCGGGAACUGCUUUCGAAACUGCCGUUCUCGAGUACCGGAGAGGGUGGCGGAAUUCCUGGUGUAGAGGUGAAAUUCGUAGAUAUCAGGAGGAACACCGGUGGCGAAGGCGGCCACCUGGACGGUCACUGACGCUGAGACGCGAAAGCGUGGGGAGCAAACAGG
RNAcentral lists this ribosomal RNA (253 nucleotides) under uncultured bacterium. RNAcentral's name for it is "partial 16S ribosomal RNA". It matches the Rfam family "Bacterial small subunit ribosomal RNA", at positions 524 to 776 of the family's 1533-position model. The record is from RNAcentral.